Small nucleolar RNA from Phyllostomus discolor (pale spear-nosed bat), 120 nucleotides. RefSeq annotates it as small nucleolar RNA SNORA61. NCBI's taxonomy places the organism in Eukaryota, Metazoa, Chordata, Mammalia, Chiroptera, Phyllostomidae. The record is from RefSeq and is a predicted model, not a curated record. The transcript has a single exon.
AAUUUCUGUAUUUCACCCUCCGGCUCAGAUUUGAACACCAGUCUUGGUCAUAAAAAGAAGAAAAGUAAUAUUGAAGCUGGCCUCACAGCUCUGUAGUGUGUGGGCUAGUUUCAAACAAGG